GAAUUUGGUAAUUUUCAUAAAACUAAGUAGAAACAAAACAGUAUAUUGAUGGAGAAUGAUCAAAACAAAAUAAUAGGUAGAGACGAAGCUCAUUCCUUAAAAAUAGAAGUAAAAAACCAAGGGGGGUGGAGCAGUUCCUAAAAAAGGAUUUACCCUCAUUUCCCAACCAAAUCUAGAUCAUACUCUUGCCUAUAUUUUCCCUCCGAAUCCCUGAGUUUGGAGUUUUGCUUUUGAUCGAUCAACCGCACACGGCUGGCUCAUCUCAUAGUCUUUGGCGGAUUGCGAUUUCUUCUCCACAUUGCUCGUGUUUCUCCGUCAAUGGCGGCUGGGGAUCUUGAAGGUUCCUAGCCGACAAACGACAUGACCGAGAAAACCGAGCUCCCCCCCCUUCAACAAUUUAGGGCGAAAGUCGACAUCGGCCACAUCGCGGCUAGGGUUUACAAGGACCCGACGGUACGAUCUCGGGCUCGCAAGGUAGUGGGGAUCAAGAGGAUGACCGGGCUCACCGAUUCCGCCUCCUUCGACCGGCACGCGCAGAUGAUCUGCCCGCUGUUCGUAAAGCAGUUCCUCUUUCCUAAAAAAUUUCAAUUCUCUACAACUCCUCGCCGAGGGAUGGUUUAAGCUCCCUAGGAGCAAAAACCGCCAAACCGGAGACGAGGAAGACAACGACAUUGAAAUCCGGGCCCGGAGCCGAGGAGAUCCUUUCGCGGACGCCAACGACGUUGACGUCACGAGCGGGGAUGAUUCGCCGAUAUUCAAGUUCGGGAGGAGACAACGAGAAAGGCGAGAACUCUGGCGACGACGAUGAGUCGAAGAAGCCUAUCAAGGGGAUCCUGAAGUGUCCGUCGACGACGUUGAAUCGGAGCGGGUCGUGUAGAUCGUUAACACCGUUGUCGCCGUCGCCGUCGCCGCUGAGUCAGAAACUGAGAAGGGCGAACUCGAAAGGGUGCAAUGUAAGGUUUAAGAUGUAAUAGGUGGGCAGUUGAGUGAUUACUGAAUUAGCAAUGAGGUUUUUUUUGUUUGUUUAAAUUAGGGUAGAGUAUAUUGGUGCAUGCUUUAUCCUUUUCUUUUCUUUUCUUUUCUGAGAAGACAGAUUAAUGUGUCUGCCUAAGACUAAGUUUUGUAACAUGUAUAAUCAUUUUUAUAAUCAUAUACUAUUAAUUACUCAA
Long non-coding RNA from Salvia splendens (bonfire salvia), 1169 nucleotides. RefSeq lists it as uncharacterized. NCBI's taxonomy places the organism in Eukaryota, Viridiplantae, Streptophyta, Magnoliopsida, Lamiales, Lamiaceae. The record is from RefSeq and is a predicted model, not a curated record. The transcript is spliced from 2 exons.